AGUCUAGCGAGCUGAUUAGAAGCUUGCUUCUUUGAUGUUAGCGGCGGACGGGUGAGUAACACGUGGGCAACCUGCCUGUAAGACUGGGAUAACUUCGGGAAACCGAAGCUAAUACCGGAUAGGAUCUUCUCCUUCAUGGGAGAUGAUUGAAAGAUGGCUUCGGCUAUCACUUACAGAUGGGCCCGCGGUGCAUUAGCUAGUUGGUGAGGGAACGGCUCACCAAGGCUCGAUGCAUAGCCGACCUGAGAGGGUGAUCGGCCACACUGGGACUGAGACACGGCCCAGACUCCUACGGGAGGCAGGAGUAGGGAAUCUUCCGCAAUGGACGAAAGUCUGACGGAGCAACGCCGCGUGAGUGAUGAAGGCUUUCGGGUCGUAAAACUCUGUUGUUAGGGAAGAACAAGUACGAGAGUAACUGCUCGUACCUUGACUGUACCUAACCAGAAAGCCACGGCUAACUACGUGCCAGCAGCCGCGGUAAUACGUAGGUGGCAAGCGUUAUCCGGAAUUAUUGGGCGUAAAGCGCGCGCAGGCGGUUUCUUGAGUCUGAUGUGAAAGCCCACGGCUCAUCCGUGGAGGGUCAUUGGAAACUGGGGAACUUGAGUGCAGAAGAGAAAAGCGGAAUUCCACGUGUAGCGGUGAAAUGCGUAGAGAUGUGGAGGAACACCAGUGGCGAAGGCGGCUUUUUGGUCUGUAACUGACGCUGAGGCGCGAAAGCGUGGGGAGCAAACAGGAUUAGAUAACCCUGGUAGUCCACGCCGUAAACGAUGAGUGCUAAGUGUUAGAGGGUUUCCGCCCUUUAGUGCUGCAGCUAACGCAUUAAGCACUCCGCCUGGGGAGUACGGUCGCAAGACUGAAACUCAAAGGAAUUGACGGGGGCCCGCACAAGCGGUGGAGCAUGUGGUUUAAUUCGAAGCAACGCGAAGAACCUUACCAGGUCUUGACAUCCUCUGACAACUCUAGAGAUAGAGCGUUCCCCUUCGGGGGACAGAGUGACAGGUGGUGCAUGGUUGUCGUCAGCUCGUGUCGUGAGAUGUUGGGUUAAGUCCCGCAACGAGCGCAACCCUUGAUCUUAGUUGCCAGCAUUUAGUUGGGCACUCUAAGGUGACUGCCGGUGACAAACCGGAGGAAGGUGGGGAUGACGUCAAAUCAUCAUGCCCCUUAUGACCUGGGCUACACACGUGCUACAAUGGAUGGUACAAAGGGCUGCAAGACCGCGAGGCGCCUACAUGAAGCUGGAAUCGCUAGUAAUCGCGGAUCAGCUUGCCGCGGUGAAUACGUUCCCGGGCCUUGUACACACCGCCCGUCACCCCACGAGACUUUGUAACACCCGAAGUCGGCGGAGUAACCCUAAGGACCUACCCGCCUAAGGCAGACAGAUGACGGGG
RNAcentral lists this ribosomal RNA (1388 nucleotides) under Bacillus sp. P3(2010). RNAcentral's name for it is "16S ribosomal RNA". It matches the Rfam family "Bacterial small subunit ribosomal RNA". Lineage: Bacteria; Bacillati; Bacillota; Bacilli; Caryophanales; Bacillaceae. The record is from RNAcentral.